UUAAGGAGAUUUUCACGAAAGUUGUUUGCGCCAAGGAAGAUCUUCACAUAGAGUGGUGAUGCGCGAGAGAUACCAAUUGAUAAGGUAGCAAUAUCCUCUUCCAUGAAAGAGCCCACUAGAAAUUUCAACUCAAUUACGCUGCAGCUAGAAACAAUACACAGAAAGAAUCCAUAAGUCUUCAUCCGAACAAGACAAAUAUUUGAUGAGGAGGCAGGUCACUUGCUAUGCAUCUCGAACAAUCUAUUCUUAUUAGCCGAGAAUGUUGCUUUUACUUAUGAUCUCAAUCUAUGUUUUUGUUCUUACAUUUUUAAUGCUGAAGACAAACUUGAGUGUUAACAUAGCAUAUGAUUAGUACCUUGAUUCACUGAAUUUACAUGAGCACCACUGGAGAACAUUCCCCUCCAAAACUGAUUGACGGAGAAAAUUGCGAGACAGGCGAGAAAUUUCCCGGUCGAUUGGAUGCUCCUCGGUAACAGUUUGAAGUUUCGCUGUUCGCAUCUUGUUCAUAGAUGAAGCUGCGUUAUCAUCCGAUCCACAAAAUGUAAGUCUAGUCCAAACUGAACUUGUACGAAACAGCAUCUUUGAAGGGAUAGGAAUCUGAACCUUAGUCUCUGUGAUAAGAGACUUCUAAACUCGUCUUAAUGCUGUUUGAGAAUUGUUUUUCCUGUAUAAAAGAUAACACUUAUUGAGAGCUGUAGUAAAGUUUACUUGAGCAGUAAAGUUGUGCUCCAAUUUAGAAAAAUAUUUUACCUGAUGGGUUAAUCUCGUAAUCAGUCCAAUUUGACGAAUUUGAAGAUGAGAUGCUUGCUAAGCGCUCAAAGACAUGCUGUUCCAGUGGUAAAUGAAAGUUGUGUUACGAAGUGGAUUUGACCUUAAACUGCAACUUUAGUAAAUGCCUAUCAGGAAAAGAAAAUUAACCAAAAUGAAAAUCGAGGCGAAGACGCUCUAUGAUGUAUCGCACAGUAUAUUACCUGGUCUGAUGAGGAGGAAGAUUCUGGAGAGUUUACGUUCAAAUUCAGAAAAUCAUUGAUGAAUUCGUGUUUUCCAAAUGGAUCCAGAUUUUCCAGCUUUUUUCCCAAACACUCUGCGUCUGAAAUUUCAGCACCAAGAUCAUAGGCGUCAUCUUCCACAUUUGAUUCAUUCUUU
Molecule: long non-coding RNA, 1146 nt
Filed under: Physcomitrium patens
Lineage: Eukaryota; Viridiplantae; Streptophyta; Bryopsida; Funariales; Funariaceae
Description: long non-coding RNA (PPAT_LNC014231)
Source: RNAcentral